AGACCCGAAACCCGGUGAUCUAGCCAUGGGCAGGUUGAAGGUUGGGUAACACUAACUGGAGGACCGAACCGACUAAUGUUGAAAAAUUAGCGGAUGACCUGUGGCUGGGGGUGAAAGGCCAAUCAAACCGGGAGAUAGCUGGUUCUCCCCGAAAGCUAUUUAGGUAGCGCCUCGUGAAUUCAUCUCCGGGGGUAGAGCACUGUUUCGGCUAGGGGGCCAUCCCGGCUUACCAACCCGAUGCAAACUGCGAAUACCGGAGAAUGUUAUCACGGGAGACACACGGCGGGUGCUAACGUCCGUCGUGAAGAGGGAAACAACCCAGACCGCCAGCUAAGGUCCCAAAGUCAUGGUUAAGUGGGAAACGAUGUGGGAAGGCCCAGACAGCCAGGAUGUUGGCUUAGAAGCAGCCAUCAUUUAAAGAAAGCGUAAUAGCUCACUGGUCGAGUCGGCCUGCGCGGAAGAUGUAACGGGGCUAAACCAUGCACCGAAGCUGCGGCAGCGACACUCAGGUGUUGUUGGGUAGGGGAGCGUUCUGUAAGCCUGUGAAGGUGGCCUGUGAGGGUUGCUGGAGGUAUCAGAAGUGCGAAUGCUGACAUAAGUAACGAUAAAGCGGGUGAAAAGCCCGCUCGCCGGAAGACCAAGGGUUCCUGUCC
This 653-nucleotide ribosomal RNA is filed under the name Salmonella enterica. RNAcentral describes it as "partial 23S ribosomal RNA". It matches the Rfam family "Bacterial large subunit ribosomal RNA", at positions 711 to 1360 of the family's 2925-position model. The record is from RNAcentral. RNAcentral also lists the same sequence under 2 other names. Lineage: Bacteria; Pseudomonadati; Pseudomonadota; Gammaproteobacteria; Enterobacterales; Enterobacteriaceae.